Long non-coding RNA from Oncorhynchus tshawytscha (Chinook salmon), 432 nucleotides. Lineage: Eukaryota; Metazoa; Chordata; Actinopteri; Salmoniformes; Salmonidae. The record is from Ensembl.
CAGGAAGGGGAGGGGAGGUACAUAAUGAUAUGUAAAACAGACUUGUCUGGGCAGGAAGGGGAGGGGAGGUACAUAAUGAUAUGUAAAACAGACUUGUCUGGGCAGGAAGGGGAGGGGAGGUACGUAAUGAUAUGUAAAACAGACUUGUCUGGGCAGGAAGGGGAGGUGCGUAAUGAUAUGUAAAACAGACUUGUCUGGGCAGGAAGGGGAGGGGAGGUACAUAAUGAUAUGUAAAACAGACUUGUCUGGGCAUGAAGGGGAGGUACAUAAUGACAGGUAAAACAGACUUGUCUAGGCAGGAAGGGGAGGGUAGGUACGUAAUGAUAUGUAAAACAGACUUGUCUGGGCAGGAAGGGGAGGGUAGGUACAUAAUGAUAUGUAAAACAGACUUGUCUGGGCAGGAAGGGGAGGUACAUAAUGAUAUGUAAAACA